AACGUGCCCAGUCGUGGGGGAUAACGUAGCGAAAGCUACGCUAAUACCGCAUACGAUCCACGGAUGAAAGCGGGGGAUCGCAAGACCUCGCGCGACCGGAGCGGCCGAUAUCAGAUUAGGUAGUUGGUGGGGUAAAAGCCCACCAAGCCAACGAUCUGUAGCUGGUCUGAGAGGACGACCAGCCACACUGGGACUGAGACACGGCCCAGACUCCUACGGGAGGCAGCAGUGGGGAAUUUUGGACAAUGGGCGCAAGCCUGAUCCGGCAAUGCCGCGUGCAG
Molecule: ribosomal RNA, 281 nt
Filed under: uncultured bacterium
Lineage: Bacteria
Description: partial 16S ribosomal RNA
Rfam family: Bacterial small subunit ribosomal RNA
Source: RNAcentral